CGGGGGGGCAAGCGUUGUUCGGAAUUACUGGGCGUAAAGGGCUCGUAGGCGGCCAACUAAGUCGGACGUGAAAUCCCUCGGCUUAACCGGGGAACUGCGUCCGAUACUGGAUGGCUUGAGUUCGGGAGAGGGAUGCGGAAUUCCAGGUGUAGCGGUGAAAUGCGUAGAUAUCUGGAGGAACACCGGUGGCGAAGGCGGCAUCCUGGACCGACACUGACGCUGAGGAGCGAAAGCCAGGGGAGCAAACGGGAUUAGAUACCCCGGUAGUCCUGGCCCUAAACGAUGAAUGCUUGGUGUGGCGGGUAUCGAUCCCUGCCGUGCCGAAGCUAACGCAUUAAGCAUUCCGCCUGGGGAUACGGUCGCAAGGCUG
RNAcentral lists this ribosomal RNA (370 nucleotides) under uncultured organism. Its description in RNAcentral is "bacterial SSU rRNA". It matches the Rfam family "Bacterial small subunit ribosomal RNA", at positions 527 to 896 of the family's 1533-position model. The record is from RNAcentral.